Molecule: long non-coding RNA, 1056 nt
Organism: Bos taurus (domestic cattle)
Lineage: Eukaryota; Metazoa; Chordata; Mammalia; Artiodactyla; Bovidae
Source: Ensembl
GCCGGCUGAGGGUACUGCUAACCUGGCCGGGCCAGGCUCUAGGGUGGAGAGGGUGAAAGUGCCAAUCGUGGGGCCGAGGGCCUCGCGGGACCACGCGCCCUCCGCAACCCAGGUACAAGGGCUUUCCCGACGCGAAGAGGAAUCUCACUCUUGUCUGCGGGAAGCCGCUGGCUGUGCGUCUGGGCUUCAUCAUCACCUUCGAGGUGAAACAGAAGUUAUUUACUCCCUAGAGUUGUUGUGAGGAUUAAUUGAAUGAAUCCCCAGAACCCCUCAGAAUAGUGCCUGGCAGCACCGACUCAAUGGAUAUGAGUUUGAGUAAACUCCGGGAGUUGGUGAUGGACAGGGAAGGCUGGCGUGCUGCAGUCCAUGAGGUCGCAAAGAGUGGGACACGACUGAGCGACUGAACAACGAAGUGCCUUGUACUUAGUAAGCGCUUGGCAGAGUAAGAUCGCUAAAGCCAUCGUUCUCUUUCACCGCUCCCUUCUCCCCAGCCUCUCAUCGCCUGGCUCGUGCUCGACCUGCCAGCCUCCCUGGCUACCUAGGCCCAAGGUCAGCGUUCUGGCCCCGCCCCUAGCUUGGCCCAGAGGGAGGAUUGGCCGCUGGUUCUCUCAUCUCCGCUGGGCCCGGCCAUCACUCAGUCUCGCCUGCGCCACGCCCCUGCUUUUGUAUUAUGUCCACCAGAGCCCUUUCUGCUCUGGAGGGUCCUCCGCUUCGGCCUGACCCAGCCUUGCUUUCCGUCCGCUGCAGCAGGAGACGCUGUCCCUGGAGCCCAGGACUCAGGGUCCAGAGAAGUGAGACUUCCUUUCCAGGACCCUAAUUCCCCCAGGAUCCUCCCUCCUUUGGGGGCCUCUGCUUCCAGCUAGGAGUCAAGGCUACGGUACCUUGGCCAGCGGCCCCAAGUGCCACCUCCCCACGGACGCCUUGUCCCCACCCCCUCUGUGCAGUGUCUCCUCAUUACGUGCCGAUGUUCUGGGGGCCAAGGUGGAUAUGAAGGAGUGAAGGGACCUAACCUCUCCAACUGAAUGGUUACCAGUUGGCAAGGGAGAACUCAUGGGA